UUUUGGACAAUGGGCGCAAGCCUGAUCCAGCCAUGCCGCGUGCGGGAAGAAGGCCUUCGGGUUGUAAACCGCUUUUGUCAGGGAAGAAACGCGCUGAGCUAAUACCUCGGCGUAAUGACGGUACCUGAAGAAUAAGCACCGGCUAACUACGUGCCAGCAGCCGCGGUGACACGUAGGCACCAAGCGUUGUCCGGAUUUAUUGGGCGUAAAGAGCUCGUAGGCGGUUCGGUAAGUCGGGUGUGAAAACUUUGGGCUCAACCCAAAGCGUGCACUCGAUACUGCUGUGACUAGAGUUCGGUAGGGGAGUGGGGAAUUCCUAGUGUAGCGGUGAAAUGCGCAGAUAUUAGGAGGAACACCGGUGGCGAAGGCGCCACUCUGGGCCGAAACUGACGCUGAGGAGCGAAAGCGUGGGUAGCAAAC
This 420-nucleotide ribosomal RNA is filed under the name uncultured bacterium. RNAcentral describes it as "bacterial SSU rRNA". It matches the Rfam family "Bacterial small subunit ribosomal RNA", at positions 362 to 773 of the family's 1533-position model. The record is from RNAcentral.